RNAcentral lists this long non-coding RNA (606 nucleotides) under Trifolium pratense (red clover). RNAcentral's name for it is "long non-coding RNA (TPRA_LNC010745)". Lineage: Eukaryota; Viridiplantae; Streptophyta; Magnoliopsida; Fabales; Fabaceae. The record is from RNAcentral.
AAAUAACAACACACUCCUCUUACGGUAAAAACACAACAACACAACACAUAAGGAUUUAGGCAUAUUCUUCUCCUUUUUUGUUUAGUCUUAGAUGCCAUGUAAAUUUAUAUACCGCAUGCUUAUUUUAUUUUGAUUUUUUUAAAGGCCAUGCUUGCGAUUUGAAUUCAUACUUGUAAUCUUUUUCACUUUCUUUUACUUUGUCUUAGCGGUAUAUAGAAAGAGUAUUAAAAGAUACUGAUCAUGCUUUUAAGUUGUUUUUGUGACUAGUUAAUAAUUAUUGAUAUGUUUACUCUUAGGUGGUGGUAGAGAAGCUGGAACGUCAUUUUGAAACCUCAUAUAGGCAGGUGUAAGAAAUUGAAGAAAAACAAAGAUGAUAAUGUUAGCAAACGUAUGCUUGACAAAGCUGGAAAAUUGACAUCAAGAAAAAUUGACAUGAAAGUUGUACGUGACUUGAUUUCCAUGAGCAUGACCACUACAACAUUUUAGGCCUACCGCAACGUCUAAAUUUUGGGAUGUAAAAAAACCGUUGUGGUAGGAUAUAUAAAAUCCCAAAAGAACGCAGCUCGAAAACAUAAAAUCCCAAAUUGAUUCUUGUUCUCAUAUUAA